CCGGGCCGAUAUCUCAGAAUGCUGCAGGGCUGCCGGAUUCUGGUUCACCCUAUGCUCUGACCCCAAGACUUCCUCUAAACCAAUGUUUCUUGACCCGGUCCUCGGCAGCCUCCAAACGGUCCAUGAUUUUGCUCGCUCCCAGCCCUCAGAGCCACAAUGUGGACUGUCUGGAGCAGGAGGGGGAUCCCCAUGUUACUAUUAUAUUUUGUAUGUAAUCUACCCACUCCGGUUUCAUGCUGAGGCUAAUUGGACUUGCUAAAUUGCCCGUAGGUGUGCAUGUGUGAGUGAAUGGUGUGCGAGUGUGCCCUGCGAUGGGCUGGCCCCCCAUCCUGGGUUGUUCCCUGCCUCGUACCCAUUGCUUCCAGGAUAGGCUCCGGACCCCCCGUGACCCAGUAGGAUAAGCGGUUUGGAAAAUGGAUGGAUGGAUCUAAUCUACCCUCCAGUGUUACUGAAUGCUAACUGUGAAUUGCUUGCAGUGAUGUGUCUGGAACUUCCCUUGGUACCUUGAUCCGCCUCCUGUACCCCUUAGGUCGCUACUUCAGGACCUCCUGCCGUUCACCUGGGCGUGCGAGAAGCGUGCAAACGCGGGGCUCACUGUGGCCUGGAUCGGCACCACUCUCCUCGUUGCCGACUUCGUCCCCGACAUCAACGUCAUUGGGGGCAUAAGUACCUUCUUCAUCUUCAUAUUUCCGGGUUUUCUCACCAGACUGGAGCAGUUUUAUCUUGGGCAAAUCCUGGUGGACUUUGUUUGGCUUGGACUCCUGGCAUUGCUGCUCUUAGAUGGCUAAAAUCCUAGGACUAUUAUAAAAGAGAGGAAUGCACACAACACACCUAAGGAAAACAUCUACUUCUACAGCAGCUAACAUCCAGAGUAACAUGCACUCAGGUCAAGGAAAGCAAAAACAAGGCAAAAGGAGCUGCUUCUGAUCGGCCAUUGGCUCCCACCUGGCACUGCGAUGGAGGCGACGCCCUCAGGCUGGCAUAGUG
This is a long non-coding RNA of Brienomyrus brachyistius, 987 nucleotides long. RefSeq lists it as uncharacterized. The transcript has 4 exons. The record is from RefSeq and is a predicted model, not a curated record. Lineage: Eukaryota; Metazoa; Chordata; Actinopteri; Osteoglossiformes; Mormyridae.